RNAcentral lists this ribosomal RNA (325 nucleotides) under Streptomyces sp. 0112ALTP74. Its description in RNAcentral is "bacterial SSU rRNA". It matches the Rfam family "Bacterial small subunit ribosomal RNA", at positions 66 to 395 of the family's 1533-position model. The record is from RNAcentral. Lineage: Bacteria; Bacillati; Actinomycetota; Actinomycetes; Kitasatosporales; Streptomycetaceae.
ACGAUGAAGCCCUUCGGGGUGGAUUAGUGGCGAACGGGUGAGUAACACGUGGGCAAUCUGCCCUUCACUCUGGGACAAGCCCUGGAAACGGGGUCUAAUACCGGAUAUCACUCCUGCCUGCAUGGGCGGGGGUUGAAAGCUCCGGCGGUGAAGGAUGAGCCCGCGGCCUAUCAGCUUGUUGGUGGGGUAAUGGCCCACCAAGGCGACGACGGGUAGCCGGCCUGAGAGGGCGACCGGCCACACUGGGACUGAGACACGGCCCAGACUCCUACGGGAGGCAGCUUUGGGGAAUAUUGCACAAUGGGCGAAAGCCUGAUGCAGCGAC